GUGUCAGCAGCCGCGGUAAAACGUAGGUGGCGAGCGUUAUCCGGAUUCAUUGGGCGUAAAGAGCUUGUAGGUGGUUCUGUAAGUUGGACGUGAAAACUCCGGGCUUAACUUGGAGAGGCCGUUCAAUACUGCAGGGCUAGAGGAUGUCAGAGGGGAGUGGAAUUCCUGGUGUAGCAGUGAAAUGCGUAGAUAUCAGGAGGAACACCCGUGGCGAAGGCGGCUCCCUGGGGCAUCCCUGACACUGAGAAGCGAAAGCUAGGGGAGCAAACGGGAUUAGAUACCCCUGUAGUCC
RNAcentral lists this ribosomal RNA (292 nucleotides) under uncultured bacterium. Its description in RNAcentral is "partial 16S ribosomal RNA". It matches the Rfam family "Bacterial small subunit ribosomal RNA", at positions 505 to 796 of the family's 1533-position model. The record is from RNAcentral.